Molecule: ribosomal RNA, 253 nt
Filed under: uncultured bacterium
Lineage: Bacteria
Description: partial 16S ribosomal RNA
Rfam family: Bacterial small subunit ribosomal RNA
Source: RNAcentral
UACAGGGGGUGCAAACGUUGCUCGGAAUCAUUGGGCGUAAAGCGCACGUAGGCGGUCUGUUAUGUCGGAUGUGAAAGCCCUUGGCUCAACUGAGGAAGUGCAUCCGAAACUGGCAGGCUAGAGUACUAAAGAGGAUCGCGGAAUUCCCGGUGUAGUGGUGAAAUGCGUAGAUAUCGGGAGGAACACCAGUGGCGAAGGCGGCUUCCUGGCCUGUUCUUGACGCUGAGGCGCGAAAGCUAGGGGAGCAAACGGG